GAGUGAAAAAGUACCUGAAACUGGUUGCCUACAAACAGAUGGAGCCUGAAAGGGUGACAUCGUACCUUUUGUAUAAUGGGUCAGCGACUUAGUGUAUCGAGCAAGCUUAAGCCGGUAGGUGUAGGCGCAGCGAAAGCGAGUCUGAACAGGGCGUUCAGUUCGAUGCAUUAGACCCGAAACCGAGUGAUCUAGCCAUGAGCAGGUUGAAGGUGAGGUAACACUCACUGGAGGACCGAACCCAUAACUGUUGCAAUAGUUCGGGAUGACUUGUGGCUAGGGGUGAAAGGCCAAUCAAACUCGGAAAUAGCUGGUUCUCCGCGAAAUCUAUUUAGGUAGAGCGUCGACCGAAUACCCUGGGGGGUAAAGCACUGCAUGGGCUAGGGGUCCUCACCGGAUUACCAAACCUAAGCAAACUCUGAAUACCCAGGAGUACUAGUCGGCAGACACACGGCGGGUGCUAACGUCCGUCGUGAAAAGGGAAACAACCCUGACCAACAGCUAAGGUCCCCAAGUUAUGGCUAAGUGGGAAAGGAUGUGAGGAUCCCAAAACAACCAGGAUGUUGGCUUAGAAGCAGCCAUCAUUUAAAGAAAGCGUAACAGCUCACUGGUCUAAAUAAGGGUCUUUGCGCCUAAAAUGUAACGGGGCUAAAGCCAUACACCGAAGCUUUGGGUGCAUAGCAAUAUGCGCGGUAGCGGAGCGUUCUGUAGGCCUGUGAAGGGAGACCCGUGAGGGCUCCUGGAGGUAUCAGAAGUGCGAAUGCUGACAUGAGUAACGUAAGGAGUGUGAGAGACACUCCCGCCGAAAGACCAAGGGUUCCUGCUUAAAGUUAAUCUGAGCAGGGUUAGCCGGACCCUAAGGCGAGGCCGAAAGGCGUAGUCGAUGGGAAUCACGUUAAUAUUCGUGAGCCUGCAGGUAGUGACGGAUCAUCAAGGUAGUUCAUUCUUAUUGGAUUGAAUGGGCUGCUGCGUGGUUCCAGGAAAUAGCUCCUGCUUAUAGUCCGUACCCGAAACCGACACUGGUGGUCUGGUAGAGUAUACCAAGGCGCUUGAGAGAACUAUGCUGAAGGAACUCGGCAAAUUGCACGCGUAACUUCGGAAGAAGCGUGACCCCUUAGUACGCAAGUAUUGGGGGGUGGCACAGACCAGGGGGUAGCGACUGUUUAUCAAAAACACAGGGCUCUGCGAAGCCGCAAGGCGACGUAUAGGGUCUGACGCCUGCCCGGUGCUGGAAGGUUAAGAGGAGAGGUGCAAGCUUUGAAUCGAAGCCCC
RNAcentral lists this ribosomal RNA (1269 nucleotides) under Salmonella enterica subsp. enterica serovar Enteritidis. RNAcentral describes it as "partial 23S ribosomal RNA". It matches the Rfam family "Bacterial large subunit ribosomal RNA", at positions 536 to 1921 of the family's 2925-position model. Lineage: Bacteria; Pseudomonadati; Pseudomonadota; Gammaproteobacteria; Enterobacterales; Enterobacteriaceae. The record is from RNAcentral.